GAUGAAGAACGUAGCGAAAUGCGAUAAGUAAUGUGAAUUCCAGAAUUCAGUGAAUCAUCGAAUCUUUGAACGCACAUUGCGCCCGCCAGUAUUCUGGCGGGCAUGCCUGUUCGAGCGUCAUUUCAACCAUCAAGCCCCCGGCUUGUGUUGGGGACCUGCGGCUGCCGCAGGCCCUGAAAAGCAGUGGCGGGCUCGCUGUCACACCGAGCGUAGUAGCAUACAUCUCGCUCUGGGCGUGCUGCGGGUUCCGGCCGUUAAACCACCUUCAUAACCCAAGGUUGACCUCGGAUCAGGUAGGAAGACCCGCUGAACUUAAGCAUAUCAAUAAGCGGAGGA
Molecule: unclassified non-coding RNA, 336 nt
Filed under: soil metagenome
Description: partial contains 5.8S ribosomal RNA, internal transcribed spacer 2, and large subunit ribosomal RNA
Rfam family: 5.8S ribosomal RNA (bases 1-120)
Source: RNAcentral